This 31-nucleotide non-coding RNA is filed under the name Mus musculus (house mouse). The record is from RNAcentral. Lineage: Eukaryota; Metazoa; Chordata; Mammalia; Rodentia; Muridae.
UACCAGGGCCGAAAAUGAAGUCAUUGACAUG